This 251-nucleotide ribosomal RNA is filed under the name uncultured bacterium. Its description in RNAcentral is "partial 16S ribosomal RNA". It matches the Rfam family "Bacterial small subunit ribosomal RNA", at positions 524 to 774 of the family's 1533-position model. The record is from RNAcentral.
UACGUAGGGUGCAAGCGUUAAUCGGAAUUACUGGGCGUAAAGCGUGCGCAGGCGGUUUUGUAAGUCUGACGUGAAAUCCCCGGGCUUAACCUGGGAAUUGCGUUGGAGACUGCAAGGCUGGAGUCUGGCAGAGGGGGGUAGAAUUCCACGUGUAGCAGUGAAAUGCGUAGAGAUGCGGAGGAACACCGAUGGCGAAGGCAGCCCCCUGGGCUAACACUGACGCUCAGGCACGAAAGCGUGGGGAGCGGAAC